Molecule: non-coding RNA, 160 nt
Organism: Populus trichocarpa (black cottonwood)
Lineage: Eukaryota; Viridiplantae; Streptophyta; Magnoliopsida; Malpighiales; Salicaceae
Source: Rfam
UCUAUAACUCAAGAUAUAGCUCAAACACCGAACAGUGUCUGGGCUGUAAGUAAGACAGAUUCAAACUUCUUAUUUGCUGCUACGAUUUGAACUCUAAAACGACCCUUUUGAAUCUUAGACUCUGUUUGAAAGUUUUAGGCCUAUGUUUUAGCUUUCUAUC